RNAcentral lists this ribosomal RNA (254 nucleotides) under uncultured bacterium. RNAcentral describes it as "partial 16S ribosomal RNA". It matches the Rfam family "Bacterial small subunit ribosomal RNA", at positions 524 to 776 of the family's 1533-position model. The record is from RNAcentral.
UACGGAGGGAGCAAGCGUUGUUCGGAUUUACUGGGCGUAAAGGGCGCGUAGGCGGCCAGCACAAGUCAGUUGUGAAAUCUCCGAGCUUAACUCGGAAAGGUCAACUGAUACUGUGCGGCUAGAGUGCGGAAGGGGCAACUGGAAUUCUUGGUGUAGCGGUGAAAUGCGUAGAUAUCAAGAGGAACACCUGCGGCGAAGGCGGGUUGCUGGGCCGACACUGACGCUGAGGCGCGAAAGCCAGGGGAGCGAACGGG